AACCGCUAUGAAGUAUAAUGAGGAGAAAAGUGAAGUUCAUGUUAUGGCAAAAACUUUGAUCGCAAAAUUUGAGGAAAUGUGGAUGCAGCUUCUGCCUAAAGUUACUGUAUAGGAAAAGAGGCUAGAAGAGGAAGAUGCAGAAGCACAGUUAAAUAUGGAGCUCACUAAAGGUGAUGUUCAUGUUACGGUUUGAUCGCAAAAUUUGAGUAAAUGUGGAUGCAGCUUCUGCCUAAAGUUGUUACUGUAUAGGCAGAAUUUGAGGAAAUGUCGAUGCAACUUCUGCCUAAAGUUGUUACUGUAUAGGCAGAAUUUGAGGAAAUGUGGAUGCAGCUUCUGCCUAAAGUUACUGUAUAGGAAAAGAGGCUAGAAGAGGAAGAUGCAGAAGCACAGUUAAAUAUGGAGCUCACUAAAGGGGCUGCUUAUGCUAAAAUGGCUAGAAACUUCUGCAACAAGUUGGUGUCCAUCACAUUCAAGAGCAAAUGAGGUCGAUCCUCACCAUUGUUGCUGAAAGCUACAGCCAAGGAAAAAAAAAAUGGUUUCUGAGCUUUGAACAUCGUAACUAAAGUAAAAAGGCUUUCUGGUCUUAUUGAUAUUUUAGUUGGAUUUAAGACGAGUUUUACUUUUCCAACAUAUUUGAAUGUUUACCAGGAAAGUUUUGGUUUUAUGUUUACUCUUCUCUUCUGGUUCAGUUGUUUAUUGAACUGAUUUAAGCUGAUUAGUGUCUUUGAUAUAAAGAUGAGCCUUAUGUCAUAACUUAUACCAGUUGUGUCAUUGAUUUCAUUCCAAAGAUUUUCAGUAGCAACUUUUAAGGUUUAAUUCCACUUGCUUCUCACAUUCCAAGUGCAUUCUAAAUUAGAAUCUUAGCUAUAUUGAUUGUUUGCCGUACCUACUGAGCUUGUGAAGCUCACUCCCUAUGUUAUUGUUGUGGUUUUCAGGAAAGGAGUCCAUGAGUGGACAUGUUAAUGAGAUACCAGAGUUGUCUUGAGCAGAAAAUGUUUGGAGCUUUGUUUUGCUUAUGAAGUGUGCGCUGAACUAUGCUUUCCUUGUUUAAAUGAUUGCUCCCUGGUGCUGGAUGCUUGUCAUUCCAGAAUUUUUGCUCUUUUUGCUUUUGCAUUGUACAUAUGUUGUAAGUAACUGAAGUGUUAACUUGGAGCAUUCUUUUGGUGCUUUUUGUAGUGGAAAACUUUGGAAAGCAAGUGGCUCUUUUAAGUUUAUAAAGUGAAGUACUUUUCUUCUCUCCGAAUUUUGUAAGGCCCCGUUUGGAAACAGAAUUUUGAUUUGGAUUUGAAUUUCAAAUCUUAUGUAUUUAAAAUCUGCAGAAUUGAAAUAUGUGUAUUCUAAAUUUUGCUGUUUGGAUUAAAAAAGAUAUAUAGAGAUUUAAAAUUGAAGAUUUAGAUUUUGUAAUAUUAGAACAGCAUCCAUCUCAACCAAAUCAACCAUCAAAGGCUUCAGAGCAAUCUCAAACUUGACUCGGAGGGGAUGAAGUUGGCGGUGGAGAGCUCAGCCACCAUUGCCGGC
This is a long non-coding RNA of Rosa rugosa (rugosa rose), 1518 nucleotides long. RefSeq lists it as uncharacterized. The record is from RefSeq and is a predicted model, not a curated record. NCBI's taxonomy places the organism in Eukaryota, Viridiplantae, Streptophyta, Magnoliopsida, Rosales, Rosaceae. The transcript is spliced from 4 exons.